RNAcentral lists this ribosomal RNA (598 nucleotides) under uncultured archaeon. RNAcentral's name for it is "bacterial SSU rRNA". It matches the Rfam family "Bacterial small subunit ribosomal RNA", at positions 408 to 1025 of the family's 1533-position model. The record is from RNAcentral.
GAGAAGGUCUUCGGAUUGUAAAGCCUUUUAGUGGAGAAGAUAAUGACGGUACCACAGAAAAAGCACCGGCAAACUUCGUGCCAGCAGCCGCGAGUAAUACGAAGGGUGCUAGCGUUGUUCGGAAUCAUUGGGCGUAAAGCGUGCGUAGGCGGCUUAGUAAGUCGUUUGUGAAAUACCUAGGCUUAACUUAGGAACUGCAAUCGAAACUACUUUGCUAGAGUUUGGUGGGGGAUAGUGGAACUCCUAGUGUAGGGGUGAAAUCCGUAGAGAUUAGGAGGAAUAUCAGUGGCGAAGGCGACUAUCUACACCAAUACUGACGCUGAGGUACGAAAGCGUGGGGAGCAAACAGGAUUAGAUACCCUGGUAGUCCACGCAGUAAACGAUGAGUGCUAGUUGUCGGGAUCUUAGAUUUCGGUGGCGAAGCUAACGCGUUAAGCACUCCGCCUGGGGACUACGGUCGCAAGACUAAAACUCAAAGGAAUUGACGGGGACCCGCACAAGCAGUGGAUCAUGUGGUUUAAUUCGAUGCUACACGAAAAACCUUACCAACCCUUGACAUCUGGAUGACUGGUACAGAGAUGUGCCUUCGGAGCAAUCC